UACGUAGGGUGCAAGCGUUAAUCGGAAUUACUGGGCGUAAAGGGCGCGUAGGCGGCUUGACAAGUCACUUGUGAAAUCUCCGGGCUUAACUCGGAACGGCCAAGUGAAACUGUCAUGCUAGAGUGCAGAAGGGGCAAUCGGAAUUCUUGGUGUAGCGGUGAAAUGCGUAGAUAUCGGGAGGAACACCGGUGGCGAAGGCGGUUCUCUGGGCCUUACCUGACGCUGAGGAGCGAAAGCGUGGGGAGCGAACAGG
RNAcentral lists this ribosomal RNA (253 nucleotides) under uncultured bacterium. RNAcentral describes it as "partial 16S ribosomal RNA". It matches the Rfam family "Bacterial small subunit ribosomal RNA", at positions 524 to 776 of the family's 1533-position model. The record is from RNAcentral.